RNAcentral lists this ribosomal RNA (1343 nucleotides) under uncultured bacterium. RNAcentral's name for it is "16S ribosomal RNA". It matches the Rfam family "Bacterial small subunit ribosomal RNA", at positions 28 to 1378 of the family's 1533-position model. The record is from RNAcentral.
GACGAACGCUGGCGGCGUGCUUAACACAUGCAAGUCGAACGGAAAGGCCCUGCUUUUGUGGGGUGCUCGAGUGGCGAACGGGUGAGUAACACGUGAGUAACCUGCCCUUGACUUUGGGAUAACUUCAGGAAACUGGGGCUAAUACCGGAUAGGAGCUCCUGCUGCAUGGUGGGGGUUGGAAAGUUUCGGCGGUUGGGGAUGGACUCGCGGCUUAUCAGCUUGUUGGUGGGGUAGUGGCUUACCAAGGCUUUGACGGGUAGCCGGCCUGAGAGGGUGACCGGCCACAUUGGGACUGAGAUACGGCCCAGACUCCUACGGGAGGCAGCAGUGGGGAAUAUUGCACAAUGGGCGGAAGCCUGAUGCAGCAACGCCGCGUGCGGGAUGACGGCCUUCGGGUUGUAAACCGCUUUCGCCUGUGACGAAGCGUGAGUGACGGUAAUGGGUAAAGAAGCACCGGCUAACUACGUGCCAGCAGCCGCGGUGAUACGUAGGGUGCGAGCGUUGUCCGGAUUUAUUGGGCGUAAAGGGCUCGUAGGUGGUUGAUCGCGUCGGAAGUGUAAUCUUGGGGCUUAACCCUGAGCGUGCUUUCGAUACGGGUUGACUUGAGGAAGGUAGGGGAGAAUGGAAUUCCUGGUGGAGCGGUGGAAUGCGCAGAUAUCAGGAGGAACACCAGUGGCGAAGGCGGUUCUCUGGGCCUUUCCUGACGCUGAGGAGCGAAAGCGUGGGGAGCGAACAGGCUUAGAUACCCUGGUAGUCCACGCUGUAAACGGUGGGUACUAGGUGUGGGGUCCAUUCCACGGGUUCCGUGCCGUAGCUAACGCUUUAAGUACCCCGCCUGGGGAGUACGGCCGCAAGGCUAAAACUCAAAGGAAUUGACGGGGCCCCGCACAAGCGGCGGAGCAUGCGGAUUAAUUCGAUGCAACGCGUAGAACCUUACCUGGGUUUGACAUGGAUCGGAAGUGCUCAGAGAUGGGUGUGCCUCUUUUGGGGUCGGUUCACAGGUGGUGCAUGGCUGUCGUCAGCUCGUGUCGUGAGAUGUUGGGUUAAGUCCCGCAACGAGCGCAACCCUUGUUCACUGUUGCCAGCACGUUAUGGUGGGGACUCAGUGGAGACCGCCGGGGUCAACUCGGAGGAAGGUGGGGAUGAUGUCAAGUCAUCAUGCCCCUUAUGUCCAGGGCUUCACGCAUGCUACAAUGGCUGGUACAGAGAGUGGCGAGCCUGUGAGGGUGAGCGAAUCUCGGAAAGCCGGUCUCAGUUCGGAUUGGGGUCUGCAACUCGACCUCAUGAAGUCGGAGUCGCUAGUAAUCGCAGAUCAGCAACGCUGCGGUGAAUACGUUCCCGGG